This is a long non-coding RNA of Lepidothrix coronata (blue-crowned manakin), 302 nucleotides long. RefSeq lists it as uncharacterized. The transcript has 2 exons. The record is from RefSeq and is a predicted model, not a curated record. Lineage: Eukaryota; Metazoa; Chordata; Aves; Passeriformes; Pipridae.
GUGCUUUUCUUUACAGGAUUGGAAAGAUUUUGGAGACUGAAGAAGUUGUAGAGGCUCUGAUGGAAGGAAUAGUGACCAACCAGAAAAUGGUUUUUGUUCCACCACAGCUAAAUAUUGCUUUGCUUUCUGAAAUGGUGUUUCCAGAACGUGCCCUGAAUGUUCUGAAGAAGCUCACUGUUCCAAAGUUUGAUGCAAUCAUUGGGCAGAGAAGCACCCAGUGAAAAGCAAGAAUUGAUUCUCGUUUCGCAGUGGCACGAGUGAAAACAGAACAUGUGCUGAGGGUAGUUCAGCUGGUUUGAUAC